AUGAGGCAGUUGGGUUUUGCAGAUGCAUUUGUGCGGCUGAUUAGUGAGUGCAUAAGGACGGUGAGGUUUCAGUUUAAGGUGAAUGGGUCAUGUACGAGCCAAGUCAUCCCGGGACGUGGUCUGCGUCAAGGGGAUCCGAUUUCACCGUACCUUUUUCUUCUCUGCGCUGAGGGCCUAUCCGCGCUCCUUCACCAUGCCGAGUCUACGGGUCAGAUUAAAGGGAUCCAAAUUGCACCCACAGCUCCUGUGAGUCAUCUUCUGUUUGCGGAUGAUUCGUUACUCCUUAUGGAGGCGACACCCGAGAGCAUUGGCGUUAUUAAUCAGAUUCUGCAUGUCUAUGAGAUGGGUUCCGGUCAGGUGAUAAAUAGGGCAAAAUCUGCAGUUUUGUUCAGUAAGAAUACGCCUAGUGCAAAGAAGCAGCAGCUGCUUGAUCUUCUUGGCCUUGACUUUGAAUGUGUGCAGGGGAAAUAUCUUGGUCUGCCUAGCUAUGUUGGCCGCUCACGUCAAAGGUGCUUUGAGUAUUUAAGGGAAAGAAUCUGGGAAAUUUUAAAGGGGUGGAAGAUCAAACUGUUAUCAAGGCAGCCAAAGAGAUCCUUAUUAAAGCUGUUAUCCAGGCAGUUCCCUCUUAUGCGAUGUCUUGUUUUGAUCUAA
Molecule: ribosomal RNA, 651 nt
Filed under: Triticum aestivum (bread wheat)
Lineage: Eukaryota; Viridiplantae; Streptophyta; Magnoliopsida; Poales; Poaceae
Description: partial small subunit ribosomal RNA
Source: RNAcentral